This is a non-coding RNA of Triticum urartu, 115 nucleotides long. Lineage: Eukaryota; Viridiplantae; Streptophyta; Magnoliopsida; Poales; Poaceae. The record is from Rfam.
UUACUACUCCCUCCGUUCCGAAUUACUUGCCGCAGGUAUGGAUAUAUCUAGAUGUAUUUUAGUUCUAGAUACAUCCAUUUCUGUGACGAGUAAUUUGGAACGGAGAGAGUAGUUA